This 2133-nucleotide ribosomal RNA is filed under the name Escherichia coli HVH 195 (3-7155360). RNAcentral's name for it is "bacterial LSU rRNA". It matches the Rfam family "Bacterial large subunit ribosomal RNA", at positions 1 to 2157 of the family's 2925-position model. Lineage: Bacteria; Pseudomonadati; Pseudomonadota; Gammaproteobacteria; Enterobacterales; Enterobacteriaceae. The record is from RNAcentral.
UUAAGCGACUAAGCGUACACGGUGGAUGCCCUGGCAGUCAGAGGCGAUGAAGGACGUGCUAAUCUGCGAUAAGCGUCGGUAAGGUGAUAUGAACCGUUAUAACCGGCGAUUUCCGAAUGGGGAAACCCAGUGUGUUUCGACACACUAUCAUUAACUGAAUCCAUAGGUUAAUGAGGCGAACCGGGGGAACUGAAACAUCUAAGUACCCCGAGGAAAAGAAAUCAACCGAGAUUCCCCCAGUAGCGGCGAGCGAACGGGGAGCAGCCCAGAGCCUGAAUCAGUGUGUGUGUUAGUGGAAACGUCUGGAAAGGCGCGCGAUACAGGGUGACAGCCCCGUACACAAAAAUGCACAUGCUGUGAGCUCGAUGAGUAGGGCGGGACACGUGGUAUCCUGUCUGAAUAUGGGGGGACCAUCCUCCAAGGCUAAAUACUCCUGACUGACCGAUAGUGAACCAGUACCGUGAGGGAAAGGCGAAAAGAACCCCGGCGAGGGGAGUGAAAAAGAACCUGAAACCGUGUACGUACAAGCAGUGGGAGCACAGAGCAAUCUGUGUGACUGCGUACCUUUUGUAUAAUGGGUCAGCGACUUAUAUUCUGUAGCAAGGUUAACCGAAUAGGGGAGCCGAAGGGAAACCGAGUCUUAACUGGGCGUUAAGUUGCAGGGUAUAGACCCGAAACCCGGUGAUCUAGCCAUGGGCAGGUUGAAGGUUGGGUAACACUAACUGGAGGACCGAACCGACUAAUGUUGAAAAAUUAGCGGAUGACUUGUGGCUGGGGGUGAAAGGCCAAUCAAACCGGGAGAUAGCUGGUUCUCCCCGAAAGCUAUUUAGGUAGCGCCUCGUGAAUUCAUCUCCGGGGGUAGAGCACUGUUUCGGCAAGGGGGUCAUCCCGACUUACCAACCCGAUGCAAACUGCGAAUACCGGAGAAUGUUAUCACGGGAGACACACGGCGGGUGCUAACGUCCGUCGUGAAGAGGGAAACAACCCAGACCGCCAGCUAAGGUCCCAAAGUCAUGGUUAAGUGGGAAACGAUGUGGGAAGGCCCAGACAGCCAGGAUGUUGGCUUAGAAGCAGCCAUCAUUUAAAGAAAGCGUAAUAGCUCACUGGUCGAGUCGGCCUGCGCGGAAGAUGUAACGGGGCUAAACCAUGCACCGAAGCUGCGGCAGCGACGCUUAUGCGUUGUUGGGUAGGGGAGCGUUCUGUAAGCCUGCGAAGGUGUGCUGUGAGGCAUGCUGGAGGUAUCAGAAGUGCGAAUGCUGACAUAAGUAACGAUAAAGCGGGUGAAAAGCCCGCUCGCCGGAAGACCAAGGGUUCCUGUCCAACGUUAAUCGGGGCAGGGUGAGUCGACCCCUAAGGCGAGGCCGAAAGGCGUAGUCGAUGGGAAACAGGUUAAUAUUCCUGUACUUGGUGUUACUGCGAAGGGGGGACGGAGAAGGCUAUGUUGGCCGGGCGACGGUUGUCCCGGUUUAAGCGUGUAGGCUGGUUUUCCAGGCAAAUCCGGAAAAUCAAGGCUGAGGCGUGAUGACGAGGCACUACGGUGCUGAAGCAACAAAUGCCCUGCUUCCAGGAAAAGCCUCUAAGCAUCAGGUAACAUCAAAUCGUACCCCAAACCGACACAGGUGGUCAGGUAGAGAAUACCAAGGCGCUUGAGAGAACUCGGGUGAAGGAACUAGGCAAAAUGGUGCCGUAACUUCGGGAGAAGGCACGCUGAUAUGUAGGUGAAGUCCCUCGCGGAUGGAGCUGAAAUCAGUCGAAGAUACCAGCUGGCUGCAACUGUUUAUUAAAAACACAGCACUGUGCAAACACGAAAGUGGACGUAUACGGUGUGACGCCUGCCCGGUGCCGGAAGGUUAAUUGAUGGGGUUAGCGGUAACGCGAAGCUCUUGAUCGAAGCCCCGGUAAACGGCGGCCGUAACUAUAACGGUCCUAAGGUAGCGAAAUUCCUUGUCGGGUAAGUUCCGACCUGCACGAAUGGCGUAAUGAUGGCCAGGCUGUCUCCACCCGAGACUCAGUGAAAUUGAACUCGCUGUGAAGAUGCAGUGUACCCGCGGCAAGACGGAAAGACCCCGUGAACCUUUACUAUAGCUUGACACUGAACAUUGAGCCUUGAUGUGUAGGAUAGGUGGGAGGCUU